GAUGAACGCUGGCGGCAUGCCUAAUACAUGCAAGUCGAACGAGAGGAAGGAAAGCUUGCUUUUCUGAAUCUAGUGGCGAACGGGUGAGUAACACGUAGGUAACCUGCCCAUGUGCCCGGGAUAACUUCUGGAAACGGAUGCUAAAACCGGAUAGGUAGCAGACAAGCAUUUGACUGCUAUUAAAGUGGCUAAGGCCAUGAACAUGGAUGGACCUGCGGUGCAUUAGCUAGUUGGUGAGGUAACGGCACACCAAGUCGACGAUGCAUAGCCGGCCUGAGAGGGCGGACGGCCACAUUGGGACUGAGACACGGCCCAAACUCCUACGGGAGGCAGCAGUAGGGAAUUUUCGUCAAUGGGGGGAACCCUGAACGAGCAAUGCCGCGUGAGUGAGGAAGGUCUUCGGAUCGUAAAGCUCUGUUGUAAGAGAAAAACGACAUUCAUAGGGAAUGAUGAGUGAGUGAUGGUAUCUUACCAGAAAGUCCCGGCUAACUACGUGCCAGCCGCCGCAGUAA
RNAcentral lists this ribosomal RNA (512 nucleotides) under uncultured bacterium. RNAcentral's name for it is "partial 16S ribosomal RNA". It matches the Rfam family "Bacterial small subunit ribosomal RNA", at positions 28 to 523 of the family's 1533-position model. The record is from RNAcentral.